UNUGACUUGAGUGCAGAAGGGGAGAGUGGAAUUCCAUGUGUAGCGGUGAAAUGCGUAGAUAUAUGGAGGANCACCAGUGGCGAAAGCGGCUCUCUGGUCUGUCACUGACGCUGAGGCUCGAAAGCGUGGGUAGCGAACAGGAUUAGAUACCCUGGUAGUNCACGCCGUAAACGAUGAGUGCUAGGUGUUAGGCCCUUUCCGGGGCUUAGUGCCGGAGCUAACGCAAUAAGCACUCCGCCUGGGGAGUACGACCGCAAGGUUGAAACUCAAAGGAAUUGACGGGGGCCCGCACAAGCGGUGGAGCAUGUGGUUUAAUUCGAAGCAACGCGAAGAACCUUACCAGGUCUUGACAUCCCGAUGCUAUUCUUAGAGAUAGGAAGUUACUUCGGUACAUCGGAGACAGGUGGUGCAUGGUUGUCGUCAGCUCGUGUCGUGAGAUGUUGGGUUNNNNNNNNNNNACGAGCGCAACCCUUAUUGUUAGUUGCCAUCAUUAAGUUGGGCACUCUAGCGAGACUGCCGGUAAUAAACCGGAGGAAGGUGGGGAUGACGUCAAAUCAUCAUGCCCCUUAUGACCUGGGCUACACACGUGCUACAAUGGUCGGUACAACGAGUUGCGAGCCGGUGACGGCAAGCUAAUCUCUGAAAGCCGAUCUCAGUUCGGAUUGGAGGCUGCAACUCGCCUCCAUGAAGUCGGAAUCGCUAGUAAUCGCGGAUCAGCACGCCGCGGUGAAUACGUUCCCGGGCCUUG
Molecule: ribosomal RNA, 748 nt
Filed under: uncultured bacterium
Lineage: Bacteria
Description: bacterial SSU rRNA
Rfam family: Bacterial small subunit ribosomal RNA
Source: RNAcentral